This 483-nucleotide long non-coding RNA is filed under the name Mytilus galloprovincialis (Mediterranean mussel). The record is from RNAcentral. Lineage: Eukaryota; Metazoa; Mollusca; Bivalvia; Mytilida; Mytilidae.
GUGCUUGCACACUUUAAAAUGUUUUCUAUAUGUGUAUGGAAUUUACCAUUGGAAUCAAAAGUAAUCCCUAAGUGUUUAUGACAGGAGACAAAUUCUACUCAUUGGUUUUGAAAUUUUAUUUCAAUAUCAUCUGGGGAAGUAUGGCAGGAGAAUAUCAUAGCCUUUGUCUUAUUAGGGUUAAAAUUAAUAAGCCAAUCUUUAGACCAUACUGAAAUUUGUUCUAAAUCGCUAUUUAAGACAUCCUCUAUAGUGUAAGGGUUAUUGCUGGAAUAAGAAAGAGAUGUAUCAUCAGCAAACAAUCGAGUUAGACUUGUCAAAUUAUCAGCUAUGUCAUUUACAUAAAUAAGAAAUAGUAGGGGACCUAAUACAGAGCCUUGCGGAACUCUUGCAUUAGUAUUAUCAAAAGGCGAAUAGGCAUUUGAAACAAAAACGCUUUGUUUUCUAUUUGAAAUAUAACUUUCAAACCAUUUAUACAGAUUUCCA